RNAcentral lists this non-coding RNA (54 nucleotides) under unclassified sequences. Its description in RNAcentral is "Mu-gpT-DE RNA". It matches the Rfam family "Mu-gpT-DE RNA". The record is from Rfam by way of RNAcentral.
CCUUGACAGCCGCAUUUCGCGUCUGACUUAACCCACGACAAGGAGAUCAAAAUG